Molecule: ribosomal RNA, 293 nt
Filed under: Ditylum brightwellii
Lineage: Eukaryota; Bacillariophyta; Thalassiosirophyceae; Lithodesmiales; Lithodesmiaceae
Description: partial Bacterial large subunit ribosomal RNA
Rfam family: Bacterial large subunit ribosomal RNA
Source: RNAcentral
AUCGCAUCCUGGGGCGGUAGUACGUCCCAAGGGUUGGGCUGUUCGCCCAUGAAAGCGGUACGCGAGCUGGGUUCAGAACGUCGUGAGACAGUUCGGUCCAUAUCCGGUGUAGGCGUUAGAAUAUUGAGAGGAGCCUUCUUUAGUACGAGAGGACCGAGAAGGACAUACCUCUGGUGUACCAGUUAUCGUGCCAACGGUAAACGCUGGGUAGCUAUGUAUGGAGUGGAUAACCGCUGAAAGCAUCUAAGUGGGAAGCCCACCUCAAGAUGAGUAUUCUCAAAGCAAUAAUAAGG